AAUUGACUGAAAACUGGGACAUUAUGGAAGGAGGCUGCAGGAAUUAUCCUCCAACUUGAUAAAACCUGGAGCAGCUUCAGUGGCCCUUUAGCACUUGCAGAAGGGCACAAAUAAGGCUUGAAGGGAACUCUGAUUUGGGCCAGGCAAGAAUUUAUCUGGGAUUGGAGGAAUCCUCAUGGAAUUAUCCAGCAGGACACAGUGAAGAACGUUUUAGUGGAGUUAUUGAAGGUGAUGGACCUGACUCAUAAGGGCUGAAACUUGGAUAAAAAAAAAAAAACCAACACAAUUCCCCUGGUGCUGGGGUCACUCUGCUCAAAAAGGAACAAUCAUGGAAUUUAUUUCUUGUAAAACUCACACUGAACAGCAUUUUUGGAUGUAUUGCAUGUGAAGCCAACCCUGUGCCAGGAGCGUGUAUUUUGAAUUAUCUGCUCUCCUGAUUUGAAGAGAUCUGCCCCUGUACUCUGAUUGCUCCUUGGCCGGUCUGCCAGCCCCGUCAGAAAUGCUCACCUCACCGGUGGUUUCCUUCAAUCGCCAGCAGAGCUGCUCCAGAGGAGGUGUCUCAUCCAGUGGAAAAGGCACCAUUCACUGCUUUGGGAAGCAGCUCCACGUUUUACUUCCCCACAAGCGGGAAGCACCCGUAGGAAUGGCACUGCUCUGUCAGCUGGCUCAGUCCCUGGUGACAGUCUCUCCAGGGUGGCACUGCCCAGCCCUUGGCACACACCAGCACCAGGACCGUUGGGGUAAAUUUCCUGAAGUCGGUGGAACUCAAUCCUUUUACACCAGAAGAGAUUUUGUCUCUUCAUCUGUUGCUCCACGUUCUCCCCAGCAGAUGGGCUGUAGUGAUGAUGUCACCUCACCUCCUGGCACUUCAAAACACUCCUUUGGUUUGUGUGUGUGUGUUUUAACACUUUAUCCUUCUAGAAAAGCAGUAAGUGCUCUAAACACUGAAAUCUUAUCUUGUGCCUGGUGUGCUGCUUAAAUCAGGAAUAUCAGCUGCUGAACAGAGCUCUUUAAUUAUGUUAUUUAAGACUACCUAAAUAAUUGAAUCUGGGUAGGGCUUCAGAAACACUGACUUUUAUUUCAUCUCUAGGGGCAGGAUUUGUACUCACCUUAUUUCAUUGCAGUGUCCAGGAACAUCGGCCUGCAGGCUCUUGUGUGCUUGGAUUCAAAACAUGAAAAAUAUAGGAAAUAUUUCUACCUCCUAAUAACAGGUCACCUUCAAGGCAUGUUUGUAGCCUCUUAAAUGUCUGCUUCCAUAGAUUAAACAGGAGUGUUGGCCCCAUAGCUGGUUUGUGUAAGCUUAGGUUUUGUUUUGGGAGGCAUCUACAUGCUGGUAAAAAAUCGUCAAUUAAUCUCACUUAGAAGGGGCACAAGGGAAUGUGGGUUUUUAUUGUAUUUUAUACCUGGCUUUGUUCUCAAAGGGCUGUGUGAUAGUGGGCAAC
This is a long non-coding RNA of Manacus vitellinus (golden-collared manakin), 1442 nucleotides long. RefSeq lists it as uncharacterized. The record is from RefSeq and is a predicted model, not a curated record. NCBI's taxonomy places the organism in Eukaryota, Metazoa, Chordata, Aves, Passeriformes, Pipridae. The transcript has 7 exons.